GGGGGUGUAGCUCAGUUGGUAGAGCGCCUGCUUUGCAAGCAGGAUGUCGUGGGUUCGAUUCCUGUCACCUCCA
RNAcentral lists this transfer RNA (73 nucleotides) under Candidatus Termititenax spirochaetophilus. It matches the Rfam family "tRNA". From Rfam's summary of the family: Transfer RNA (tRNA) molecules are approximately 80 nucleotides in length. Their secondary structure includes four short double-helical elements and three loops (D, anti-codon, and T loops). The record is from Rfam by way of RNAcentral. Lineage: Bacteria; Bacillati; Candidatus Margulisiibacteriota; Candidatus Termititenacia; Candidatus Termititenacales; Candidatus Termititenacaceae.